RNAcentral lists this ribosomal RNA (253 nucleotides) under uncultured bacterium. RNAcentral's name for it is "partial 16S ribosomal RNA". It matches the Rfam family "Bacterial small subunit ribosomal RNA", at positions 524 to 776 of the family's 1533-position model. The record is from RNAcentral.
UACGUAGGGUGCGAGCGUUAAUCGGAAUUACUGGGCGUAAAGCGUGCGCAGGCGGUUCGUUGUGUCGGUGGUGAAAUCCCCGGGCUUAACCUGGGAAUGGCCAUGGAAACUGGCGAACUGGAGUGCGGCAGAGGGGGGUGGAAUUCCGAGUGUAGAGGUGAAAUUCGUAGAUAUUCGGAGGAACACCAGUGGCGAAGGCGGCUCACUGGUCCAUUACUGACGCUGAGGUGCGAAAGCGUGGGGAGCAAACAGG